GUGGGGAAUAUUGGGCAAUGGGCGAAAGCCUGACCCAGCAACGCCGCGUGAAGGAAGAAGGUUUUCGGAUCGUAAACUUCUAUCCUUGGUGAAGAUAAUGACGGUAGCCAAGAAGGAAGCCCCGGCUAACUACGUGCCAGCAGCCGCGGUAAUACGUAGGGGGCAAGCGUUGUCCGGAAUGAUUGGGCGUAAAGGGCGCGUAGGCGGCCCGGUAAGUCUGAAGUGAAAGUCCUGCUUUUAAGGUGGGAAUUGCUUUGGAUACUGUCGGGCUUGAGUGCAGGAGAGGUAAGCGGAAUUCCCGGUGUAGCGGUGAAAUGCGUAGAGAUCGGGAGGAACACCAGUGGCGAAGGCGGCUUACUGGACUGUAACUGACGCUGAGGCGCGAAAGUGUGGGGAGCAAACAGGAUUAGAUACCCCUGUGUCC
RNAcentral lists this ribosomal RNA (424 nucleotides) under uncultured bacterium. RNAcentral's name for it is "partial 16S ribosomal RNA". It matches the Rfam family "Bacterial small subunit ribosomal RNA", at positions 354 to 796 of the family's 1533-position model. The record is from RNAcentral.